This 251-nucleotide ribosomal RNA is filed under the name uncultured bacterium. Its description in RNAcentral is "partial 16S ribosomal RNA". It matches the Rfam family "Bacterial small subunit ribosomal RNA", at positions 80 to 334 of the family's 1533-position model. The record is from RNAcentral.
CCAAAAGCUGGCGACCGGCGCACGGGUGAGUAACACGUAUCCAACCUGCCUCAUACUCGGGGAUAGCCUUUCGAAAGAAAGAUUAAUAUCCGAUAGCAUAUAUUUCCCGCAUGGGUUUUAUAUUAAAGAAAUUCGGUAUGAGAUGGGGAUGCGUUCCAUUAGUUUGUUGGGGGGUAACGGCCCACCAAGACUACGAUGGAUAGGGGUUCUGAGAGGAAGGUCCCCCACAUUGGAACUGAGACACAGUCCAA